This is a long non-coding RNA of Astatotilapia calliptera (eastern happy), 1179 nucleotides long. Lineage: Eukaryota; Metazoa; Chordata; Actinopteri; Cichliformes; Cichlidae. The record is from Ensembl.
CUGAUCCGUAAGGCCAGCAAUGUUGUGGGGAUGGAGCUGGACACCCUCAAGGUGGUGUCGGAGAGGCGGAUGCUGUCCAAGAUAAAGACAAUGUUGGAUAACACCUCCCACCCACUCCAUGACAUGCUGGUCAGUCACAGGAGCACGUUCAGUGAGAGACUGAGAUUACCGAAAAGCACCACUGAACGACACAGGAAAUCAUUCCUGCCUGUGGCCAUCUCCCUGUACAACGCAUCCACUUAACACACUGUUUGCUGCUACAGCUACACAUGUUUCUUUUCCAGCUAUUUAUUUAUGAGUGACUUAUGUAUGUAUGUAUGUAUGUAUGUAUAUAUAUGUCAGGGCCGGCCCGUGGCAUAGGCCGUAUAGGCAAAUGCUAAGGGCGCCGUCCAUCAGGGGGCGCCACGCCAGUGCCACAAAUGUUGAAAAAAAAAAAAAAAGUUGGUACUAUUAUUUCUAAAUACAAAAAAUAAUCCCACGUUAAUUAAAAUGCAAAGUAAAGCUUAUUUAAUAGAAAUAUUAUUUGUUACAACAUUACGCCCCCCCUCCCCGCACGGUGCGCCCCCUCCCUCCCGUAUCAUGGUUCCUUUUGGACGUCACCACAUCAAAAAGUCAACACAAGAUGUCAAAACGGCCAAAACUGUCAGGUGGCCAGGGAAGAAAAAAGAGAAAAGAAGAGGAGGAGAAACGAGAAAAAGACAGAGAUGCGCUGUUGAAGUUUCUAAAUCCCACCCCUGGGCCAUCUACCACAUCUACCGCUGCUGCCUCCACUUCAGCAGCACAACCCACCAGUGAUGCAGCAGCAGCAUCAAGCAGUGUUAUUGUAUUUCAUAUAUUCAUUUUUUAAUUUUUUGUAUUCAUUUAUUUAUUCAUAUAUUUUUUUAUCUUGUUAAUUAUUCUGAUUGUGAAUUUGCUUUCUUUAAGUAAAAAAAAAAGGUCAAAGACAAAGCUAUUCGGUUUCUUGUGAGUACAUACACUACACUGCCGAUGUAGGGGGGCGCCACCUAAAAUCUUGCCUAGGGCGCCAGAUUGGUUAGGGCCGGGCCUGAUAUAUGUAUAUAUUGUACUAUUCUUAGUUAGUGUAUUGUCUGUCUUGUCUUAAUGUUGGUUUAAAAUGGAGCACUGUAACAAAAAAUAAUUUCCCCCAGGGUUCAAUAAAGUAUUCUGAUUCUGAUAAAU